Long non-coding RNA from Canis lupus familiaris (dog), 2126 nucleotides. RefSeq lists it as uncharacterized. Lineage: Eukaryota; Metazoa; Chordata; Mammalia; Carnivora; Canidae. The record is from RefSeq and is a predicted model, not a curated record. The transcript is spliced from 3 exons.
CGGGGGGGGGGGGGGGGCGAUCACAGGGAACAGCAGGUGAGCGGGCCUCCACCUAGUGCCAGAUCAGCAGCCCCCCCCACGCUCCAGGCCUCCCCAUCCCCCGUGGCCCUGGAGGCCUGCUGGGUCCUGGAAGGUGGGGGGGGGUGCACCCCAGGCUACAACAGGGCCGCCUUUGACUGGUGGCCUUUGGCAGCCUCGGCAUCCUCUUCCGUGUGGUGGGGGAAGGAAAGGAGACACAGUUUUGAAAGAACUGUACCCAGAAAGACACGUGAGUCAGUGACCUCUGACCCCGCUGCACCCCUGACAGUGGCCUCCCCCAGCACUCCGGGCUCCAGGGGUGUCUCUGCCCAGCCAGGCCUGCUGGACAGUGUGUGGAGGACUUGAGCUCUGCAGCAUACGGGACCCAGGGCCCCAAGGAUGGGCUGUGGCCGAGUCCAGACGACAGUGUACCUGGUGGCAGGAGCCAGCCAUGCCGCUGGCCACCCCCCUCCCCACCCCUGCGUCUACCAUGCUCCUUAUCACCUUCCCCUUCCCCAGCCCAGCUGGGGCCCUACACAGUCCCAGGGGCCACAGUGCAGGAGCUCUACCUCUCCCUGCUCCAGGCACACCGCAAGGGGGCGGUCCACAGCCCCACUGCCACCAGGAUCCCUCCCUGCAGCCCCAGCAGGUCAUUCCAUCCCCCUCGGCAGGCGCACUGCAGCCAGCCCACACACGCAAGAAGAGACAGAGGAGCUUGCCCGCUCUCCCCAGGAAGUGAGGACGCUGCUCUGAGCCAGCCACAGAGCUUCACGGAGAACCCCACCAGGCGCUGAUCUCGGACCUCCGCCCCCAGAACCGUGGACAUCCUCCCGCCUGCGGAGUGGCCAUACAGCCGCCCAGACCGUCACCUUCAGCACCCCACAGCCGUGGAAGCAGGGAUUCCCGCUCACUUUCAUGGUCUUGGCACAAGUUGAACGAGCGAAGCUUGGCGGGCCUCAGAGAAGAGCCCCCAGACACCGGCACUGCUCACCUCUCUCUGCAUCCUUGAACUUGAUGGUUCUGCGCCGGGGCGGCCGGGGGCUGGCGGCCACUUCAGCCAGGAGCCCGGAGCCGCAGAAGCCCAGGCUGCUGCCCCGGUUCCGGAGCACCAGCUUCAACUCCUGGUUCUCCUGGAUGAGCUGUACCAGCCGCCGCAGCUCUUCGUUCUCCUGUGCGAGCCGCUGGAUCUCCUGCCGCAGGCCCUCGUAGCUGCUGAGGAGGGACAUGCCCGGCAGCAGGGCGGCAGCUGCCAGCAGCUGGUGGGCUGGCCAGGGACAGCGGGCCCCGUCAUUGUGAGGUCAGCGCCUGCCCUGCCCCGCGCCUCACCUGCAUUCCGCACUCAGAGCCACAGCCCAGCAGUUCCCACCGCCUGGAGCACGGCACACCUGACCUCUGACCUCUGGCCCCUGAGGGCCAAAUGACCGAGGACACAGACCUGCCUAGGCCCUGGAGUCCCUCUAGGAAACCGCUCCUGGGGGAGAAAGAGAGAGGCAGAGACACAGGAGGAGGGAGAAGCAGGCUCCAUGCCAGGAGCCCGACGCGGGACUCGAUCCCGGGACUCCAGGAUCGCGCCCUGGGCCAAAGGCAGGCGCUAAACCACUGAGCCACCCAAGGAUCUCCAUUUAUGAUCAGUUUAUUUCACAUCAUUGUUUCCUUUUUGCUGGCCUGCUCAGUACCGUUCCCACUUAUUAACCAGUCGGUUUUCCUGGGAACGGCGAGCUCUGGUGGAGGGUGGUCUUCACGGUGCCCACUGGGGAGGGGACGCCUCUGACAGCAGCGAUCCAGGAGACGGUGGCAGCUGCACUUAGUCUCAAUGGAGAUUAUGACCAUCUUAAUUUUUUUUUAAGAUUUUAUUUAUUUAUUCAUGAGAGACACAGAAAGAGAGGCAGAGACACAGGCAGAGGGAGAAGCAGGCUCCCUGCGGGGAGCCUGAUGCAGGACUCAAUCCUGGGACCCAGGGUCAUGCCCUGGGCUGAAGGUGGCGCUAAACUGCUGAGUGACCCAAGGAUCCCCUCAAGUGAGAUUGUCUUGGAUGAGAUUACUUGAUCAGGCAGUUACCCCCCCCCCUUUUUUUUUCAGGCGGGCCUUUAAUGAAUAAGUCUCAGGGC